GAUGAACGCUAGCUACAGGCUUAACACAUGCAAGUCGAGGGGUAACGAGAGGAAAGCUUGCUUUCCUUGUCGACGACCGGCGCACGGGUGAGUAACGCGUAUCCAACCUGCCCCCAACUAGGGAAUAACCUUGCGAAAGUAAGACUAAUACCCUAUAAUUUCCUCAGAUGUCAUCUGACGAGGAAUAAAGAUUUAUCGGUUGUGGAUGGGGAUGCGCCUGAUUAGCUUGUUGGCGGGGUAACGGCCCACCAAGGCAACGAUCAGUAGGGGUUCUUAGAGGAAGGUCCCCCACAUUGGAACUGAGACACGGUCCAAACUCCUACGGGAGGCAGCAGUGAGGAAUAUUGGUCAAUGGGCGGAAGCCUGAACCAGCCAAGUAGCGUGCAGGAUGACGGCCCUAUGGGUUGUAAGCUGCUUUUAUACAGGAAUAAAGUUAGCCACGUGUGGUUAUUUGUAGGUACUGUAUGAAUAAGGACCGGCUAAUUCCGUGCCAGCCGCCGCGGUAA
This 506-nucleotide ribosomal RNA is filed under the name uncultured bacterium. RNAcentral describes it as "partial 16S ribosomal RNA". It matches the Rfam family "Bacterial small subunit ribosomal RNA", at positions 28 to 523 of the family's 1533-position model. The record is from RNAcentral.